CUGGCCUUGACAUCCCCCUGACAGCAGAGUAAUGUCUGACUUCCUUCGGGACAGGGGAGACAGGUGGUGCAUGGUUGUCGUCAGCUCGUGUCGUGAGAUGUUGGGUUAAGUCCCGCAACGAGCGCAACCCCUAUCUUCAGUAGCCAGCGAGUAAAGCCGGGCACUCUGGAGAGACUGCCGGGGAUAACCCGGAGGAAGGUGGGGAUGACGUCAAAUCAUCAUGCCCCUUAUGGCCAGGGCUACACACGUGCUACAAUGGCGUAAACAGAGGGAGGCGAAGGAGCGAUCCGGAGCGAAUCCCAAAAAUAACGUCCCAGUUCGGAUUGUAGUCUGCAACUCGACUACAUGAAGCUGGAAUCGCUAGUAAUCGCGAAUCAGAAUGUCGCGGUGAAUACGUUCCC
This 401-nucleotide ribosomal RNA is filed under the name uncultured bacterium. RNAcentral's name for it is "bacterial SSU rRNA". It matches the Rfam family "Bacterial small subunit ribosomal RNA", at positions 975 to 1375 of the family's 1533-position model. The record is from RNAcentral.